AGAAAGCGUUUCCGCGGACGGGAUUUCACAGCUUGGCCUUUCGUUUCCCACCGACAGUGGUUAGGUGCCUACUUCACGGCCAUCAGGCCGCUCUACCUGACGCGGAAAGGGGAAGCAGCGGAUGACCAGGGCUGCUUCUUCCUGGGGACCACAGGACUUCACGUGGCCAAUCCCAGGUCCGACUUGUGCCGUCUCUGGAGGCACUGUCGGAAGAUCUGCGAGGGAGCGGGCCCGAAUCCGCCGCCCGUUACGGCCGAGGCCACGGGGACGUCUUCCCGGGACAAAAGCUUCCGCUGGCAGGCAGCGACCGACCGAGGCCAAAGUGGCAGCCAUUGUGGCCAAGGAGGAGUGGAAAACGAAUGUCCCCUCCCUCCCGGAUGUGCUCCAGGCGUGGGUCUCCCCUUUAAAGGCAGCCAUUGAGGACGACAAAGGUGUCCUCAAGUCAGUGGUGGAGCAAAGGUGGAAGGGGAUCGAUUUUAUAUUACCAUGCCGUUCUCCAAAGGUGAAGUGAUCUGCGACUGUCACG
Molecule: long non-coding RNA, 526 nt
Filed under: Gadus morhua (Atlantic cod)
Lineage: Eukaryota; Metazoa; Chordata; Actinopteri; Gadiformes; Gadidae
Description: lncRNA (ENSGMOG00000033305.1)
Source: RNAcentral